RNAcentral lists this ribosomal RNA (301 nucleotides) under uncultured bacterium. RNAcentral describes it as "partial 16S ribosomal RNA". It matches the Rfam family "Bacterial small subunit ribosomal RNA", at positions 509 to 807 of the family's 1533-position model. The record is from RNAcentral.
CAGCAGCCACGGUAACACGAGGGGGGCAAGCGUUGUCCGGAAUUAUUGGGCGUAAAGGGCUCGCAGGCGGUUUCUUAAGUCUGAUGUGAAAGCCCCCGGCUCAACCGGGGAGGGUCAUUGGAAACUGGGAAACUUGAGUGCAGAAGAGGAGAGUGGAAUUCCACGUGUAGCGGUGAAAUGCGUAGAGAUGUGGAGGAACACCAGUGGCGAAGGCGACUCUCUGGUCUGUAACUGACGCUGAGGAGCGAAAGCGUGGGGAGCGAACAGGAUUAGAUACCCGUGUAGUCCCUGUCUCUUAUAC